RNAcentral lists this ribosomal RNA (1716 nucleotides) under Triticum aestivum (bread wheat). Its description in RNAcentral is "partial small subunit ribosomal RNA". Lineage: Eukaryota; Viridiplantae; Streptophyta; Magnoliopsida; Poales; Poaceae. The record is from RNAcentral.
AUGGAGAGGAUGGCUAACUCCUACUUUAAGGAGAUUUUCACUAAGGAUCCUACCCUGGACCCGCAUGAGCUGCUUGAUAAUAUUGUUCCUAAGGUGUCUGCAGAGAUGAAUGAAUCAUUAUGCAAGCCAUAUUCGGAAGAGGAGAUCUCAAAUGCCCUUUUCCAGAUAGGGCCGCUGAAAUCUCCGGGCUGCGAUGGCUUCCCGGCUAGGUUUUAUCAAAGAAAUUGGGUUGUUCUGAAAGUGGAAAUUGUAGCUGCAGUGCAGGAAUUUUUGACUGGCAUCAUGCCAAAUGGUGUCAAUGAUACGACGAUUGUGUUAAUCACAAAAGUGCCCCACCCUAGGGAACUGAAAGAUUUCCGCCCCAUAAGUCUGUGCAAUGUGGUGUAAAAGAUCGUGUCUAAAUGCAUGGUGAACAGGCCACGUCCGCUCAUGUUUGAGCUUAUCUCUGAAAAUCAGAGUGCAUCCGUUCCAGGGAGGUUGAUCUCAGACAACUCCAUUAUUGCUUUCGAGUGCAUUCAUCAUAUCCAGUCUGUGAAGGAGAAUUCACCAGCCGUGUGUGCAUACAAACUUGAUCUAUCGAAGGCCUAUGACCGUGUUGAUUGGUUCUUCUUGGAAAGGGCGCUCUUUAAAUGGGGCUUCUCUGAUAAGUGGAUCUCUCGCGUUAUGGCAUGUGUCUCAGUGAAAUAUUCUGUUAAAUUCAAUGGCAAACUUUUGGAGUCUUUCUCUCCCUCGAGAGGUCUGCGCCAAGGUGAUCCUUUAUCCCCCUUCCUUUUCCUCUUUGUGGUUGAUGCUCUAUCUAUCCUUCUGAACAAGUCGAUGAUCGAGGAUGACUUGCAAGGGGUCAAGAUUUGUAGAGGGGCUCCGGUCAUCUCACAUCUCUUAUUUGCGGAUGACUCCCUCCUAUUUUUCCAUGCCUCAGUGUCGCAGGCUCUUUUGGUUAAAGGUGUGUUGAACACGUAUUCGGCGGCGACUGGACAAUUGAUCAACCCGUCGAAGUGUUCCAUUCUUUUUUCAGAUAACUGUCUGCAGAGUGUGGCUCAGGAGGUCAAAGCUGUGUUGGAAAUUACUCAAGAGGUGUUUGAACCCAAGUACUUGGGCCUCCCGGUCCCGGAAGGUAGAAUUCACAAAGGAAAUUUUGAAACAAUCCAAGAGCGCCUACCGAAGAGGCUUAUAAAUUGGAGUGAGCAACAUAUGUCUGCUCGUAAUAAAGAGAUUCUAAUGAAAGUUGUGGCCUAGGCCCUCCCUGCCUACGUAAUGAGUGUUUUUAAACUUCGUGCAUCGGCCUGUGACGAACUAACUCGCAUGAUAUGCCAAUACUGGUGGGGCGUGGAGAAUGGCAAGAAGAAGGUGGCUUGGAUGAGUUGGCACAAACUGAGGCUACCAAAGUCCAUGGGGGGCAUGGGGUUUCGUGACAUGAGAUCCUUUAACCAGGAAUUGCUUGCUAAACAAGCGUGGCGUUUGUUGGACACGCCUGAUAGUCUCUGUGCUCGCCUGCUAAAGGCGAAAUAUUAUCCCUCCGGACAGCUGCUCGAUACGGUGUUUUCGAGCAAUGGUUCAUCAGUGUGGAAAGGUAUAUUGCAUGGCUUGGAUUUUCUAAAGAGAGGUGUAAUUUGGAGGGUCGGGAACGGAUUUCAAAUACGUACCUGGAGGGAUCCAUGGAUUCCACGACACCAUCUUCUUUUCGCCCCAUCACUCCGAAGGGCACCUAUCGCCUAA